UACGUAGGGGGCAAGCGUUAUCCGGAUUUACUGGGUGUAAAGGGAGCGUAGACGGCGAAGCAAGUCUGAUGUGAAACCCCGCGGCUCAACUGCGGGCAUGCAUUGGAAACUGUUUUGCUUGAGUACUGGAGGGGCAGGCGGAAUUCCUGGUGUAGCGGUGAAAUGCGUAGAUAUCAGGAGGAACACCGGUGGCGAAGGCGGCCUGCUGGACAGUAACUGACGUUGAGGCUCGAAAGCGUGGGGAGCAAAC
RNAcentral lists this ribosomal RNA (250 nucleotides) under uncultured prokaryote. RNAcentral's name for it is "partial 16S ribosomal RNA". It matches the Rfam family "Bacterial small subunit ribosomal RNA", at positions 524 to 773 of the family's 1533-position model. The record is from RNAcentral.